UACGAAGGGGGCUAGCGUUAUUCGGAAUUAUUGGGCGUAAAGGGCGCGUAGGCGGCCUGGCAAGUGGAAGGUGAAAUCCCUCGGCUUAACCGAGGAACUGCCCUCCAAACUGCUUGGCUUGAGUCCGGGAGAGGUGAGUGGAAUUCCCAGUGUAGCGGUGAAAUGCGUAGAUAUUGGGAGGAACACCAGUGGCGAAGGCGGCUCACUGGACCGGAACUGACGCUGAGGCGCGAAAGCGUGGGGAGCAAACGGG
This 253-nucleotide ribosomal RNA is filed under the name uncultured bacterium. RNAcentral describes it as "partial 16S ribosomal RNA". It matches the Rfam family "Bacterial small subunit ribosomal RNA", at positions 524 to 776 of the family's 1533-position model. The record is from RNAcentral.